This 146-nucleotide non-coding RNA is filed under the name chicken gut metagenome. RNAcentral's name for it is "glmS glucosamine-6-phosphate activated ribozyme". It matches the Rfam family "glmS glucosamine-6-phosphate activated ribozyme aptamer". From Rfam's summary of the family: This entry contains a glucosamine-6-phosphate activated ribozyme that is found in the mRNA for GlmS. GlmS is an enzyme that uses fructose-6-phosphate and glutamine to generate glucosamine-6-phosphate. The record is from RNAcentral.
UUAUAUAUAGCGCCUGGACACUCUUUUUGGGUGUUGACGAGGUUCAGAGUUAUCGAAAGAUUCGGCGGAUGCUCUGAUGGCUUUUACUUAUGGUCAUGAGUAUUGAUUAAAGAGCAGUAGUAAUAUUGUAACAAAGGUCAAUACAU